This 492-nucleotide ribosomal RNA is filed under the name uncultured bacterium. Its description in RNAcentral is "partial 16S ribosomal RNA". It matches the Rfam family "Bacterial small subunit ribosomal RNA", at positions 29 to 507 of the family's 1533-position model. The record is from RNAcentral.
AGUGAACGCUGGCGGUAUGCCUAAUACAUGCAAGUCGAACGGCAGGACAGUAAGAUCGUGCUCUUACCGUUGGCGACGGGCGGGUGGGUGAGGAGUGGAUCAGAAACUUCUUUUUCUUGGGUGAUUACGUGGGGACACUGACACUAAUAGCGCAUACGACCUACGGGUGGAAUCAAGGGAGCUUCACACCUUGGGCGAUUCAUUGAGCCGAUGUCGGAUUAGCUAGUUGGCAGGGUAAAGGCCCACCAAGGCGACGAUCCGUAGCCGGCCUGAGAGGAUGAUCAGCCACACUGGAACUGAGACACGGUCCAGACUCCUACGGGAGGCAGCAGUGGGGAAUCUUCCGCAAUGGGCGAAAGCCUGAUCGAGCAACACCGCGUGAGUGAAGAAGGUCUUCGGAUUGUAAAGCUCUUUUAUUAGGAAAGAACAGCAGUAGGUUAAUACCUGGAUGUUUUGACGGUACCUAAAGAGUAAGCCCCGGCUAACUUCGUG